CUUCCCCGCCUCUGCGCGCAGCGCGGCUACGCCCGAGGCCCCGCCUCCAGACCACGUGUGCGCCCUGCGCCACGCUUUCCGCCGCUUGAGAGGUUUCGCGCCGGGAGCCGAGUUCCUGGACUGCGGUUCGGCGCUCGGAGCGGGCCUGGCCUGUACCCGGUGGCCGCGGCUGCGUCCUGUCCCCAGCCGGGCCCCAGGCGCCAUGGCGUCCCGCGGGAGGAAGCGGAAGGCCGAGGCGGCGCUGGCCGCAGCGGCCGAGAAGCGGGAGAAGCCGGCCGGCGGCCAGGAUGGGGGAGUGGAGGGGCCGAGCGUCGUCAUCGAGCACUGCACGAGCUGACGCGUCUAUGGGCGCAACGCCGCGGCUCUGAGCCAGGCGCUGCGCCUGCAGGCCCCGGAGCUGGUGGUGAAGGUGAACCCCGCCAGGCCGCGGAGGGGCAGCUUCGAGGUGACGCUGCUGCGCGCCGACGGCAGCAGCGCGGAGCUCUGGACGGGUCUUAAGAAGGGGCCCCCACGCAAACUCAAGUUUCCGGAGCCUCACGUGGUGCUGGAGGAGCUGAAGAAGUACCUUUCGUAGGGAGGUGGGGCAGAAGGCGUCUCGCUGAGAAACACACCCCCUCACUUUCCUGUAACUCCCGCCGAUGCCCUCAUUUGUGUGUGUGUGGAUUCUCCUCUUCUGGCCAAAUCUCUGUGUAGUUUCAGCCUCUGUCCCUGGUGAUGCUGGAGCAUUUAUGACGGGACAUGGUCAAACUUCAGUCAUGUCCCUGAAGCUGUGGUUUCCUUCCCUCCAGAAACAAUGGUUCAGUUGUGAGGCAAUCCUCUAGUAAGACACUGAAAAAUUCUUGGAUUUGGUUUAAUAAAAAUUAAAAGGAUUUGAGUUGAUAUAAA
RNA transcript from Cervus elaphus (red deer), 885 nucleotides. It is a transcript of the gene named selenoprotein H, with no coding region annotated. The transcript has 5 exons. Lineage: Eukaryota; Metazoa; Chordata; Mammalia; Artiodactyla; Cervidae. The record is from RefSeq and is a predicted model, not a curated record.